GAUGAACGCUGGCGGCGUGCCUAAUACAUGCAAGUAGAACGCACAGUUUAUACCGUAGCUUGCUACACCAUAAACUGUGAGUUGCGAACGGGUGAGUAACGCGUAGGUAACCUGCCUGGUAGCGGGGGAUAACUAUUGGAAACGAUAGCUAAUACCGCAUAAUAUUGAUUAUUGCAUGAUAAUUGAUUGAAAGAUGCUAUUGCAUCACUACCAGAUGGACCUGCGUUGUAUUAGCUAGUAGGUGAGGUAACGGCUCACCUAGGCGACGAUACAUAGCCGACCUGAGAGGGUGAUCGGCCACACUGGGACUGAGACACGGCCCAGACUCCUACGGGAGGCAGCAGUAGGGAAUCUUCGGCAAUGGGCGGAAGUCUGACCGAGCAACGCCGCGUGAGUGAAGAAGGGUUUCGGAUCGUAAAGCUCUGUUGUAAGAGAAGAACGGGUGUGAGAGUGGAAAGUUCACACUGUGACGGUAUCUUACCAGAAAGGGACGGCUAACUACGUG
Molecule: ribosomal RNA, 505 nt
Filed under: uncultured bacterium
Lineage: Bacteria
Description: partial 16S ribosomal RNA
Rfam family: Bacterial small subunit ribosomal RNA
Source: RNAcentral